CAGUCGAACGAAGCACUUUAUUUGAUUUCUUCGGAACGAAGAUUUUGUGACUGACUGUUCGGACGGGUGAGUAACGCGUGGGUAACCUGCCUCAUACAGGGGGAUAACAGUUGGAAACGACUGCUAAUACCGCAUAAGCGCACAGGGUCGCAUGACCUGGUGUGAAAAGCUCCGGUGGUAUGAGAUGGACCUGCGUCUGAUUAGCCAGUUGGUGGGGUAACGGCCUACCAAAGCAACGAUCAGUAGCCGACCUGAGAGGGUGACCGGCCACAUUGGGACUGAGACACGGCCCAAACUCCUACGGGAGGCAGCAGUGGGGAAUAUUGCACAAUGGGGGAAACCCUGAUGCAGCGACGCCGCGUGAGCGAAGAAGUAUUUCGGUAUGUAAAGCUCUAUCAGCAGGGAAGAAGAAAUGACGGUACCUGACUAAGAAGCACCGGCUAAAUACGUGCCAGCGGCCGCGGUAAUACGUAUGGUGCAAGCGUUAUCCGGAUUUACUGGGUGUAAAGGGAGCGCAGGCGGUACGGCAAGUCUGAUGUGAAAGCCCGGGGCUCAACCCCGGUACUGCAUUGGAAACUGUCGGACUAGAGUGUCGGAGGGGUAAGUGGAAUUCCUAGUGUAGCGGUGAAAUGCGUAGAUAUUAGGAGGAACACCAGUGGCGAAGGCGGCUUACUGGACGAUUACUGACGCUGAGGCUCGAAAGCGUGGGGAGCAAACAGGAUUAGAUACCCUGGUAGUCCACGCCGUANACGAUGAAUACUAGGUGUCGGGGAGNAUUGCUCUUCGGUGCCGCAGCAAACGCAAUAAGUAUUCCACCUGGGGAGUACGUUCGC
Molecule: ribosomal RNA, 833 nt
Filed under: uncultured bacterium
Lineage: Bacteria
Description: bacterial SSU rRNA
Rfam family: Bacterial small subunit ribosomal RNA
Source: RNAcentral